RNAcentral lists this ribosomal RNA (253 nucleotides) under uncultured bacterium. RNAcentral describes it as "partial 16S ribosomal RNA". It matches the Rfam family "Bacterial small subunit ribosomal RNA", at positions 524 to 776 of the family's 1533-position model. The record is from RNAcentral.
UACGUAGGGUGCGAGCGUUAAUCGGAAUUACUGGGCGUAAAGCGUGCGCAGGCGGUUCGUUGUGUCGGCGGUGAAAGCCCCGGGCUCAACCUGGGAAUGGCCGUUGAAACUGGCGGACUGGAGUGUGGCAGAGGGGGGUGGAAUUCCGCGUGUAGCAGUGAAAUGCGUAGAGAUGCGGAGGAACACCGAUGGCGAAGGCAGCCCCCUGGGCUAACACUGACGCUCAGGCACGAAAGCGUGGGGAGCAAACAGG